GCCCUCGGUGGCUCAGAUGGAUAGAGCGUCUGCCAUGUAAGCGGGAGAUCCCGGGUUCGAGUCCCGGUCGGGGCA
This 75-nucleotide transfer RNA is filed under the name Schistocerca americana (American grasshopper). RNAcentral describes it as "tRNA-Thr". It matches the Rfam family "tRNA". From Rfam's summary of the family: Transfer RNA (tRNA) molecules are approximately 80 nucleotides in length. Their secondary structure includes four short double-helical elements and three loops (D, anti-codon, and T loops). The record is from RNAcentral. Lineage: Eukaryota; Metazoa; Arthropoda; Insecta; Orthoptera; Acrididae. RNAcentral also lists the same sequence under 1 other name.